Long non-coding RNA from Homo sapiens (human), 683 nucleotides. NCBI's taxonomy places the organism in Eukaryota, Metazoa, Chordata, Mammalia, Primates, Hominidae. The record is from Ensembl.
GAAGGAGGCCUGGGCUCAGGCCCAGAGUGCCAGCUUUGCCCUAUCCCAUAGCCUGGAGCCACCACAGGAGGGGCACUCCACUCUCUUGGGCUCCUGGAGCCUCAGAGGCAGAGUGAUUUUCUUGCUUCUUGUUUGAGCUGGGCUGUGACAUGUGCUUCCUCUCGAAGAGCCAGUGGAUUUGAUGAGAAGCACCGAGAGCACCGCCCGGCUCCCGGCAUCUGCGAGGCCUCGCACAGAGCCAGCCGGGAGUGCAGGAGGGAGAACUUUCCUGUGGACGUCCUGUGUUCUCCAGACGCAGAGAACCCUCAUCAACCGAGGGGGAGGUCACUUCCGAAUCCACAGAUGGCGUGUGAGUGCAUGGCGAGCGCCUCCAGGACACACUUACUGUUCCCUUGCUCUGGCCAGACGCCAGCCGGACCCUGUGUGUGCGCGCCGUGCUGCUCUUUGCAGCUGCCUGCAAGGGGUUCCUGCGAAGACCAGCACCUUGGGGAAGAGCCUGCGGCUGAACUUGAACUCGCAGCUACCUGAGUCAGACCUGUGCUUUUUCACCUCUACGGAAGAUGUCAGAGCGUUUCCCUAGCAAUGUUUUAGAAGUUACUUCUGUCUGGAAAAAAAUGGAAAAAAUGGCAAAUUAUGUUAUGUAUAAUUUGAUAAUUUUAAAGAAUUAAUGAUGUAAUUAUUAC